CCUACGGGUGGCAGCAGUGAGGAAUAUUGGUCAAUGGGCGGGAGCCUGAACCAGCCAAGUCGCGUGAAGGAAGAAGGUACUUAGUAUUGUAAACUUCUUUUGUCGGGGAACAAAGGCGGAGACGCGUCUCCGGAUGAGUGUACCCGAAGAAAAAGCAUCGGCUAACUCCUGGCCAGCAGCCGCGGUAAUACGGAGGAUGCGAGCGUUAUUCGGAUUUCUUGGGUUUACAGGGUGCGCGGGCGGGAGAUAAAGUCGGCGGUAAAAUGUCGGGGCUCAACCCGGGCCGGCCGUUGAAACUGGUUGUCUAGAGUUGGAGAGAAGUAGGCGGAAUUCGUGGUGUAGCGGUGAAAUGCAUAGAGAUCACGAAGAACACCGAUUGCGAAGGCAGCAUACCGGCUCCAUACUGACGCUGAGGCACGAAAGCGUGGGGAGCGAACAGGAUUAGAUACCCCAGUAGUC
RNAcentral lists this ribosomal RNA (459 nucleotides) under uncultured bacterium. Its description in RNAcentral is "partial 16S ribosomal RNA". It matches the Rfam family "Bacterial small subunit ribosomal RNA", at positions 338 to 795 of the family's 1533-position model. The record is from RNAcentral.